AGACGAAUUUUGAUCCGCAGAUUUCUGAAUGGGGAAACCCAAUCAAUUUAUUGAUUAUUGCAUAUUGAAUACAUAGAUAUGCAAGGCAAACCUGGUGAACUGAAAUAUCUCAGUAGCUAGAGGAAAGGAAAUCAAAAGAGACUCCGUUAGUAGUGACGAGCGAACACGGACCAGGCCAGUGGUUUAUAAUUAAAAAUUAGAAUACUUUGGAAAGAGUAGCCAUAGAUGGUGAUAGCCCAGUAUAAGUAAAAAAAUUAUAAAUCCUUGAGUAGGACGGGACACGUGGAAUCCUGUUUGAAGAUGGGGGGACCAUCCUCCAAGCCUAAGUACUCCUUAACGACCGAUAGUGGACAAGUACCGUGAGGGAAAGGUGAAAAGAACCCCGGGAGGGGAGUGAAAUAGACCCUGAAAUCGAAUGCUUACAACCAGUUGGAGCCUUAUACUUAUAUUUGUGAGUAAUCACAACCUAUAUUUAUUAAGGUGACAGCGUACCUUUUGCAUAAUGGGUCAGCGAGUUAAUCUAUUAAGCAAGCUUAAGCCGUUAGGUGUAGGCACAGCGAAAGCGAGUCUGAAUAGGGCGUUUAGUUUAAUGGAUUAGACCCGAAACCAAGUGAUCUAACCAUGGCCAGGUUGAAGGUGUAGUAAAAUACAUUGGAGG
This 658-nucleotide ribosomal RNA is filed under the name Ehrlichia canis. RNAcentral's name for it is "bacterial LSU rRNA". It matches the Rfam family "Bacterial large subunit ribosomal RNA", at positions 90 to 772 of the family's 2925-position model. Lineage: Bacteria; Pseudomonadati; Pseudomonadota; Alphaproteobacteria; Rickettsiales; Anaplasmataceae. The record is from RNAcentral.